AGUGAACGCUGGCGGUAGGCCUAACACAUGCAAGUCGAACGGCAGCACAGUAAGAGCUUGCUCUUACGGGUGGCGAGUGGCGGACGGGUGAGGAAUACAUCGGAAUCUACUUUUUCGUGGGGUAAAACGUGGGAAAACUAACGCAAAUCCCACAACGUCCCAAGGGGUAAAAGCAGGGCAUUUUCGACCCUUGCCCGAUGGAAUGACCCGAUGUCGGAUUAGCUAGUUGGCGGGGUAAAGGCCCACCAAGGCGACGAUCCGUAGCUGGUCUGAGAGGAUGAUCAGCCACACUGGAACUGAGACACGGUCCAGACUCCUACGGGAGGCAGCAGUGGGGAAUAUUGGACAAUGGGCGCAAGCCUGAUCCAGCCAUACCGCGUGGGUGAAGAAGGCCUUCGGGUUGUAAAGCACUUUUGUUGGGAAAGAAAAGCAGCAGGUUAAUACCCCGCUGUUCUGACGUUACCCAAAGAAUAAGCACCGGCUAACUUCGUG
This 492-nucleotide ribosomal RNA is filed under the name uncultured bacterium. RNAcentral describes it as "partial 16S ribosomal RNA". It matches the Rfam family "Bacterial small subunit ribosomal RNA", at positions 29 to 507 of the family's 1533-position model. The record is from RNAcentral.